UAGGGAAUCUUCCGCAAUGGACGCAAGUCUGACGGAGCAACGCCGCGUGAGUGAAGAAGGGUUUCGGCUCGUAAAACUCUGUUGUUAAGGAAGAAUGACAGGCAGAGUAACUGCUGCCUGUGUGACGGUACUUAACCAGAAAGCCACGGCUAACUACGUGCCAGCAGCCGCGGUAAUACGUAGGUGGCAAGCGUUAUCCGGAAUUAUUGGGCGUAAAGCGCGCGUAGGCGGUUUUUUAAGUCUGAUGUGAAAGCCCCCGGCUCAACCGGGGAGGGUCAUUGGAAACUGGGGAACUUGAGUGCAGAAGAGGAGAGUGGAAUUCCAUGUGUAGCGGUGAAAUGCGCAGAGAUAUGGAGGAACACCAGUGGCGAAGGCGGCUCUCUGGACUGUAACUGACGCUGAUGUGCGAAAGCGUGGGGAUCAAACAGG
This 429-nucleotide ribosomal RNA is filed under the name Bacillota bacterium. RNAcentral describes it as "Firmicutes bacterium partial 16S ribosomal RNA". It matches the Rfam family "Bacterial small subunit ribosomal RNA", at positions 355 to 776 of the family's 1533-position model. Lineage: Bacteria; Bacillati; Bacillota. The record is from RNAcentral.